CUUAGCCAUGCAGUCUCAGUACGAGCUGACUUAAAGUGAAACCGCAAAAGGCUCAGUAAACCGGUCAUAGUUUACCGGAUAUAUGCCACUCACGUGGAUAACUGUGGUAAUUCUAGAGCUAAUACAUGCAACCAAGUCCCGACCAGCGAUGGAAAGGACGCUUUUAUUGGAUCAAAACCAUUCGCCCGGCUCGCCCGGGCGUCUGCUUGAUGACUCUAGAUAACACCACAGAUCGCACGGUCACAGUACCGGCGACGUAUCCGUCAAAUGUCUGACUUAUCAGCUGUCGAUGGUAGACUCUGUGUCUACCAUGGCGCUCACGGGUAACGGGGAAUCAGGGUUCGAUUCCGGAGAGGGAGCCUGAGAAACGGCUACCACAUCCAAGGAAGGCAGCAGGCACGCAAAUUACCCACUCCCGGCACGGGGAGGUAGUGACAAAAAAUAACGAUACGGGACUCAUCCGAGGCCCCGUAAUCGGAAUGAGAACACCCUAAAUCCUUUAACGAGGAUCUAUUGGAGGGCAAGUCUGGUGCCAGCAGCCGCGGUAAUUCCAGCUCCAAUAGCGUAUAUUAAAGUUGUUGCGGUUAAAAAGCUCGUAGUUGGUUCUGCGUGCCACGCUGUCGGUUCACCGCCUGUCGGUGCAACUGGCAUGCCGUGGCAUGUCCUGUCGGUGGCUGACGGGCUUCUCGGCGUGCCCCACUCGCUCACGCGUGUGGGUCGACGUGCCGUGUUGUCCUCGUUGGCCGGCUCAAUCCUACCGCGGUGCUCUUAAACGAGUGUCGAGGUAGGCCGACACUGUUUACUUUGAACAAAUUAGAGUGCUUCAAGCAGGCUCUGAAAGCAGCCUGAAUAGUGGUGCAUGGAAUAAUGGAACAGGACCUUGGUUCUAUUUUGUUGGUUUUCGGAAUCCAAGGUAAUGAUCAAUAAGGACAGGCGGGGGCAUUCGUAUUGCGACGUUAGAGGUGAAAUUCUUGGAUCGUCGCAAGACGCACUAGAGCGAAAGCAUUUGCCAAGUAUGUCUUAAUUGAUCAAGA
Molecule: ribosomal RNA, 1034 nt
Filed under: Carbula putoni
Lineage: Eukaryota; Metazoa; Arthropoda; Insecta; Hemiptera; Pentatomidae
Description: SSU rRNA
Rfam family: Eukaryotic small subunit ribosomal RNA
Source: RNAcentral